GAAAAGAACUUUGAAAAGAGAGUCAAAAAGACCGCAAAACCGUUAGGAGGGAAACGAAUGCAGCUGAAGCGGUGCCUCGUUGGGCUCAGGGUGCCGGCGCGGGGUCCCGGCAGACUGCGGAAGCCUUGUGGCUCCGCUGGUCUCGUCGGGGGCUCUCGUGUCGGCCCUGCACUUCCGCGAGGUGCCGGCCAACGGCGGUUGCCUUCGGCUCGGCGGGCGUCUGGGGAGGUGGCUCUGCGCUUGCGUGGAGACCGUACAGCCCGGGCGCGCGGCAGUUCGGGGGCGACCGAGGAGAGCGUUGCGGUCCUUCGCACGCUGCGGCGCGGGCCGACUCUGGUCGGCUGCGGCCCCACGUUGGGAGGUCUCCCGCUCGUGUGCACUGCGUGCAGUGCCUGGAGACGGCCGAGGUCCUUCCGGUCGUGGAGGUGCGACAACUCGCGCCGAGGUCGUUGGCGUCCGAAUGGCUGCAUCCGACCCGUCUUGAAACACGGAA
Molecule: ribosomal RNA, 493 nt
Filed under: Poecilosclerida sp. 13 JV-2020
Lineage: Eukaryota; Metazoa; Porifera; Demospongiae; Poecilosclerida
Description: partial large subunit ribosomal RNA
Source: RNAcentral